UACGGAGGGUGCAAGCGUUGUCCGGAAUCACUGGGCGUAAAGGGCGCGUAGGCGGCCCCUUUUGUCGCGUGUGAAAGCCCCGGGCUCAACCUGGGAGGUGCGCGCGAAACGGGGGGGCUUGAGUUCGGGAGAGGAGAGUGGAAUUCCCAGUGUAGAGGUGAAAUUCGUAGAUAUUGGGAAGAACACCGGUGGCGAAGGCGGCUCUCUGGACCGAGACUGACGCUGAGGCGCGAAAGCGUGGGGAGCAAACAGG
RNAcentral lists this ribosomal RNA (253 nucleotides) under uncultured bacterium. Its description in RNAcentral is "partial 16S ribosomal RNA". It matches the Rfam family "Bacterial small subunit ribosomal RNA", at positions 524 to 776 of the family's 1533-position model. The record is from RNAcentral.